GCCCCGAGUCACAAAAACUAAAAUACUUCUUAGUCUAAGUAGACACUUUCACUAGAUAGGUAGAGGCCUUUCCUACAGGGUCUUUUAAAAACACACCUCACCAAGCUCAGCCACCAACUUAAAAAGAACUGGACAAUAGUUUUACCACUUUCCCUUCUCAGAAGUCAGAUCUGUUCUCAGAAGUCAGAUCUGUCCUCAGAAUGCUACAAGGUA
RNAcentral lists this long non-coding RNA (213 nucleotides) under Homo sapiens (human). RNAcentral's name for it is "non-protein coding lnc-NR2F1-8:1". The record is from RNAcentral. Lineage: Eukaryota; Metazoa; Chordata; Mammalia; Primates; Hominidae.